GCCGUUAACCCUAUUUGUUAGGGUUUCAUUUGGCAAGCCGCCAUCGAACCACCAUUUUAUUUGGUGACAGACAGUUCUCAGGCCAGAUUUAGUACAUGCCCACGGAGUACGGAGUAUGGUGUCGCGUGUACGGGGCUGUGCUGGCGCUUGGCGUGAGGAGUACGGAGGCGCGCGUGGCUGUCAUACGGUGCUGAAGGUGCAUGGAGGCUGGGGCUUGACUACGGCGCAAAGUGGGAGAAGCCCUAGGGUUUCUGUUAGGGUUUUAAUUUUUCGGGCCUGCUGGGCCGUGAAUUCUUGGGUCUAGACUUUUUUGGGCUUGUUUUGGGUUUGUAUUGGGUCUGGGAUUUGGGUUAUGUAAUUGGACAUUUUAAUGGACUGUUAAUAUUUGAUUUUUGUGUUUA
Gossypium arboreum is the source of this 401-nucleotide long non-coding RNA. RefSeq lists it as uncharacterized. The transcript has 2 exons. The record is from RefSeq and is a predicted model, not a curated record. NCBI's taxonomy places the organism in Eukaryota, Viridiplantae, Streptophyta, Magnoliopsida, Malvales, Malvaceae.